UACAGAGGUCUCAAGCGUUGUUCGGAUUCAUUGGGCGUAAAGGGUGCGUAGGCGGCGCGGCAAGUCGGGUGUGAAAGCCCGGGGCUCACCCCCGGAAGGGCAUUGGAAACUGGCGGACUCGAGUCCCGGAGAGGAAGGUGGAAUUCCUGGUGUAGCGGUGAAAUGCGUAGAUAUCAGGAGGAAUACCGGUGGCGAAGGCGGCCUUCUGGACGGUGACUGACGCUGAGACGCGAAAGCGUGGGGAGCAAACAGG
Molecule: ribosomal RNA, 253 nt
Filed under: uncultured bacterium
Lineage: Bacteria
Description: partial 16S ribosomal RNA
Rfam family: Bacterial small subunit ribosomal RNA
Source: RNAcentral